GUGGUAAGGUUCCAUGUGACCCAUCUUACCAAGGUCUGAUUAUGGUAAUAGUUUGGCAAACAAUCUACUCCACCAUCAAUGGCCCCAGAUUACAGCUGUUUUUUUAAAAAUCUCAGUCGCUUCUAGAAACUUGCAAGAUGGAUUGUACACAGAGGAGAAGACGGAAAGACACGCCAUGAGCCUUUAUGCUAUUGUUUUUCAGAGAACAGGAGACAGAAUGGUGGCUGUUCAAGCCUCCCAAGGUGCAAGAUUUCUUCCUCUCUAAGUUGCAAGGUGAAGCCAUUUGGAAGAGCAGUUGUAAUGGGUGAGGGCAACCAGGCUGUUCAUGUGCUUCAUGUCCAGCUAAAACUUAAUCCAAGAAGUACCAGAGUGGAUUCUCUGCUUCUGUUCAGCCACAGAAGGUGUAAUUCCUAGUAGGCAGCAUCACUCUAAGAAUGGCAUCAAGAAUUUAGUGAAAAAUUAUGAUUAAGAAAACAAUUCAACCGCCUUACUCAUCGUGGUAAUCUAAAUUAAAAUGAUCCUAGGGGCAGCAAGGUAAUUCAUCAUGUAAGGGCAUUUAUUUACUGUGAAGUUUGUCAACCUGAGUUCAGUCAUUGGAACCUACAUGAUGGAAGGAGAGGGUUGACUUCUUAAGCUGUCCUCUGACAUCCACAAGUGCAUCAUGGCACAUAUGCCUCCCUGGUCACAUGCAUAGCAACACACUUGCAUAAACACAUACACACACAAAUUGUAAAGAUUAUUUUAAAAACUCCAGUAGAAAUGGAUAUUUUAAAGGAUGUUGUUAUUUGUAUAACAACAAAUGCUGGAGAGGAUGUAGGGGAAAGGAAGGCUUUGUGUAAUGCUAGGAGUCAUGUAAAUUAGUGUGGUCACUAUGGAAAUCAGUGUGGAGUGUCCUCAAAAAUGAAAAAGAGGACUACAGCAUGAACAUCAAUAGCUGCAUUCCUGGAUAUGUGCCUGAAGGGACCUAGGCCAGCAUGCUCCAGAGACACUUGUACACCCAUGUUUACUGUAGCACUAUUUAUAAUAGUUUCAUUGUGGAGCCAACAAUGAUGUUUGUCAAACAAUGAAUGAAUGAAGAGAACUGGGUACAUAGACCCACUAUUUUCUCUUCAGAAAUAAAAUUACAUUGUUUUCUGGAAAAUAGAUGCACUUUGAUCACCGUGUAAAGUGAAAUAUGCUAGUCUUAUUUGAAAAAACACACAUUUUAUUUAUGGUCCCUAGAUUUCCUUUCUUCCCAUUUGUGUAAAAUCUAUUCAUGUGUACAUGUUUAUAUGUACGUGCAUGCAUACAAGUGCACACCCAUGUGUGGAUGGCAGAGGCACAUAUCAGUGUCUUUCUAUUUCACAUCCCACCUUAUUGUAUGAAACAGGUUUUCUCACUGAACCCGAAGCUUACCAGUUCAGCAGAAUUAGCUGGCCAGUGAGCUUCAGAUGCCCUCUUUCCAACACUAGUAUUAAAAUCUAGUGAAAACAUGCCUGGCUUUUUCCAUAUGUGCUUGAGACCCAGCCUCAGGUCCUCAUGCUUAUGUGCACUCAGAACUUUAUCCAUCUCCCUAGGCCCCUGAACCCUAAAUUUUUUAUAGACACAUGGCAUUGUACACAGAAAAAAAUAUAUGUAUGUAUAUAUGAGACAUGGAAACAGUAGUGACUCUGGAGAAGGGGGAAGACUAGAAUAGAUUGGGGUGGGCAGGGAGAAGGUAUGAGUAGUUAGUACGUAGCACACGAUUAAUCGAAAUAAAUUGUCUUUAUGAAACCGAGCACUAUGCAAAAGUAAAUUACACCAAUAAAUUUCACUUUUUUAAAUAAUCAUCAGCUGGUAUGAGAUUGU
Long non-coding RNA from Peromyscus eremicus (cactus mouse), 1827 nucleotides. RefSeq lists it as uncharacterized. The transcript has 5 exons. The record is from RefSeq and is a predicted model, not a curated record. Lineage: Eukaryota; Metazoa; Chordata; Mammalia; Rodentia; Cricetidae.